UACAGAGGGGGCAAGCGUUAUUCGGAAUUAUUGGGCGUAAAGGGCGCGUAGGCGGCUUGGCAAGUGGAUGGUGAAAUCCCUCGGCUUAACCGAGGAACUGCCGUCCAAACUGCUUCGCUUGAGACCGGGAGAGGUGAGUGGAAUUCCCAGUGUAGCGGUGAAAUGCGUAGAUAUUGGGAGGAACACCAGUGGCGAAGGCGGCUCACUGGACCGGUACUGACGCUGAUGCGCGAAAGCGUGGGGAGCGAACGGG
This 253-nucleotide ribosomal RNA is filed under the name uncultured bacterium. RNAcentral describes it as "partial 16S ribosomal RNA". It matches the Rfam family "Bacterial small subunit ribosomal RNA", at positions 524 to 776 of the family's 1533-position model. The record is from RNAcentral.